UGAAUACGAGAUGCUACGGCGUCGAAGCAGUGUAUGUCAGACUUCCAAGAAAAGCUCGCAAUGUCAUAAAUAAAGAAUGCCUGUACCAUAACCGACACAGGUGGGUAGGUAGAGUAUACUAAGGGGCGCGAGAUAACUCUCUCUAAGGAACUCGGCAAAAUAACUCCGUAACUUCGGGAGAAGGAGUGCCUUCUUGAAGAAGGUUGCAAUAACAAGAUCCAAGCAACUGUUUAUCAAAAACACAGGUCUCCGCUAAGUCGAAAGACGAUGUAUGGGGGCUGACGCCUGCCCAGUGCCAGAAGGUUAAAGAAGCUGGUUAGCAAUAGCGAAGCUGGUGACUGAAGCCCUGGUGAACGGCGGCCGUAACUAUAACGGUCCUAAGGUAGCGAAAUUCCUUGUCGGGUAAGUUCCGACCCGCACGAAAGGCGUAAUGAUUUGGAUACUGUCUCGGAGAGGGACUCGGUGAAAUAGACUUGUCUGUGAAGAUGCGGACUACCUGCACCGGGACAGAAAGACCCUAUGAAGCUUUACUGUAACUUGAAAUUGAAAUUGGACUUUAUUUGCGCAGUAUAGGUGGAAGGCGUUGAGAUUACUCUUGCGGGAUUAGUGGAGCCAUCAGUGAGAUACCACUCCUAUAAUGUUAGAUUUCUAACUUUGGAUCAUAAUCUGGUCAAAGAACAGUUUCAGGCGGGCAGUUUGACUGGGGCGGUCGCCUCCCAAAUGGUAACGGAGGCGUACAAAGGUUUCCUCUGAACGGGUAGAAAUCGUAUCUAGAGUGUAAAGGCAUAAGGAAGCUUGACUGUGAGACCUACAAGUCGAGCAGGGACGAAAGUCGGUCUUAGUGAUCUGACGGUGCUGAGUGGAAAGGCCGUCACUCAACGGAUAAAAGUUACUCUAGGAUAACAGGCUGAUCUCCCCCAAGAGUUCACAUCGACGGGGAGGUUUGGCACCUCGAUGUCGGCUCAUCGCAUCCUGGGGCGGUAGUACGUCCCAAGGGUUGGGCUGUUCGCCCAUGAAAGCGGUACGCGAGCUGGGUUCAGAACGUCGUGAGACAGUUCGGUCCAUAUCCGGUGUAGGCGUUAGAAUAUUGAGAGGAGCCUUCUUUAGUACGAGAGGACCGAGAAGGACAUACCUCUGGUGUACCAGUUAUCGUGCCAACGGUAAACGCUGGGUAGCUAUGUAUGGAGAGGAUAACCGCUGAAAGCAUCUAAGUGGGAAGCCCACCUCAAGAUGAGUAUUCUCAUC
This 1245-nucleotide ribosomal RNA is filed under the name metagenome. RNAcentral's name for it is "bacterial LSU rRNA". It matches the Rfam family "Bacterial large subunit ribosomal RNA", at positions 1564 to 2818 of the family's 2925-position model. The record is from RNAcentral.